Molecule: ribosomal RNA, 254 nt
Filed under: uncultured bacterium
Lineage: Bacteria
Description: partial 16S ribosomal RNA
Rfam family: Bacterial small subunit ribosomal RNA
Source: RNAcentral
UACGUAGGGGGGCAAGCGUUGUCCGGAAUCAUUGGGCGUAAAGCGCGUGUAGGCGGCUGAGUAAGUCUGCUCUGAAAGCCCGGGGCUCAACCCCGGGAGGCGGGUGGAUACUGCUCAGCUCGAGUCCGGAAGAGGAGUGUGGAAUUCCUGGUGUAGCGGUGAAAUGCGCAGAUAUCAGGAGGAACACCAAUGGCGAAGGCAGCACUCUGGGACGGUACUGACGCUGAGACGCGAAAGCGUGGGGAGCAAACAGG